This 1161-nucleotide long non-coding RNA is filed under the name Homo sapiens (human). RNAcentral's name for it is "long intergenic non-protein coding RNA 343". The record is from RNAcentral. Lineage: Eukaryota; Metazoa; Chordata; Mammalia; Primates; Hominidae.
GUAUAAAAUAUAUGCACUCUCCCACUAGAGAUACGAGCUACUUUAGUCCCGUAUUUUAUUAUUGCAGGGAUAGAUAAGUGGACAGAUGCUGUCAAGCAUUCAAAUAAUCGACCUAUAAAGGGCUAGACAUAGAAAGACAUAAUUUCCCUGACCUCUCCAACACGCAGUCUAUUCUCACUCUGGAGGAUGAAAUGCAAAGACUCAACUCCAAGAAUGAAGUACCCUUGGCUGUGUACAUUUGAGUAAAGAGAGCACUAUAAAAUCAAAAACCAAUGAAAUGGUUUCCAGAACACAGAACUAUUAAGCUUAAGAAAAGGACAGAAGGAACUGAAGAGAGAGGAACUGUUUUGGAGCAUCACACUUCCACCUCAGAAGAAAUAAGGAAGGAAGGAGGAGGGUGUUCCCACGGCUCUUCAACCAGGCCGGCUCUUCAGCCUACAUCCCCAUCUCAUCAAGUAAAAGGGAUUUUUCAACUGGACCAACCAGAUGGUUUAACAGUGCACUCCCACACCAUUCAACUACGCAAGGGAGAUACACUUAACAUAUGCAGUCGUAUAACACCUACUAACAUUUUCAAACAUUAAACCUUUAAAAAAGAGUUCUAAAGAAAUAGAAGCUUGAAGUAUCAUCUCUCAAGUAUAUAGACACUACUUCAUGGUGUGGUAAUAUAUGCAUAUAGAAGCUAGUAAACACCUCCAGGAGAUGCAAAAGGAAUUAGAACUGCCACAAGGUGCAAGCAAAACCUUGAGGUGAGAAAAUCGAAUUUGGACACCGUUGAGGAGACUAUUGCAGUCAUCCAAGCUCAAGAUGGUGGAGCUUCAUCCUUGAGAAUAACCAAUGGGGAUAGAUUUAAGAGACACUUAGAGUCUGCAGCCAACAGGGCUGAAUGAGCAGAGAGUUAUGAUUCAGAAGAUCAUCUAAAAUUGAACAGCUGCCACUACUGGCAAUAAGUCUACUGCCAUUUGGUAGAUAACCUUCUUAUCACACAGAAAAAUAUCAGUACAGACAAAUAGACCGCAAAGAAAAUGAGACCAUCAGCAAAGAAGAUAAAGAAGUUUGUACAAAGCAACUUUUUAUAAAUGGAUGGCUGUCAGGCAAAAAUAAAUUUCCUGUGGACAAGACCAAGAGCAAGGCAAGAGGAAAAUAAACAUGUUUAAACUA